Molecule: ribosomal RNA, 368 nt
Filed under: uncultured organism
Description: bacterial SSU rRNA
Rfam family: Bacterial small subunit ribosomal RNA
Source: RNAcentral
CGAAGGAUCCUAGCGUUGUCCGGAUUUACUGGGUUUAAAGGGUGCGUAGGCGGAUAAUUAAGUCAGUGGUGAAAGCCGGCAGCUCAACUGUCGAAUUGCCAUUGAAACUGAUUGUCUCGAGUACGGUUGAGGUGGUUGGAAUGUUGCGUGUAGCGGUGAAAUGCUUAGAUAUGCAACAGAACACCGAUUGCGAAGGCAGACCACUAAGCCGUCACUGACGCUGAGGCACGAAAGCGUGGGGAUCAAACAGGAUUAGAUACCCUGGUAGUCCACGCCCUAAACGUUGAAUACUCGGUCUUAGCGAUAUACAGUUAGGGCCCAAGCGAAAGCGUUAAGUAUUCCACCUGGGGAGUACGGCCGCAAGGUUG